UUAAAUUGAAGAGUUUGAUCAUGGCUCAGAUUGAACGCUGGCGGCAGGCCUAACACAUGCAAGUCGAACGGUAACAGGAAGCAGCUUGCUGCUUCGCUGACGAGUGGCGGACGGGGGAGUAAUGUCUGGGAAACUGCCUGAUGGAGGGGGAUAAC
Molecule: ribosomal RNA, 155 nt
Filed under: Salmonella enterica subsp. enterica serovar Schwarzengrund
Lineage: Bacteria; Pseudomonadati; Pseudomonadota; Gammaproteobacteria; Enterobacterales; Enterobacteriaceae
Description: partial 16S ribosomal RNA
Rfam family: Bacterial small subunit ribosomal RNA
Source: RNAcentral